Molecule: unclassified non-coding RNA, 263 nt
Filed under: Hevea brasiliensis (rubber tree)
Lineage: Eukaryota; Viridiplantae; Streptophyta; Magnoliopsida; Malpighiales; Euphorbiaceae
Source: RNAcentral
GCAAAAGUUAUGAAUAUUUGCAAGUUGUAAGCAUAUGGAUCCCAUAUCUUCUCUUCCUUCAAAGAGUUAGGUGGUGUGAGAAGAGUUCCUUUAUGAAGUAUGUUCAUAGUUUUAGCAAAAAUUCAUGUAUAAUCAUUUAAAACUGUAAAUUCAAAGUUUAGCUACUCAUAAAUAUUUCUUUGUAGAAAAAGAAAAUUUUAUUGGAGGAGGAAUUCAAAAUGAAAACAAGAAACAAUAACUAAAGACAUUAAGGAAUACACAGG